CUGAAACCAAAGAUCCGCUGCGAGUGCAGCCACAUCUCAAGAAAUGCUUUGAAGGCAUUCAUUCACUCAACUUUGAUGCCAACGGAGAAAUCAUCGCAAUUGUGUCAGCUGAAGGUGAAGCUGUGCAACUCACAAGGAAGAUCAAUCCAGCGUCGGCUAA
This 160-nucleotide long non-coding RNA is filed under the name Belgica antarctica. Its description in RNAcentral is "rhabdomyosarcoma 2 associated transcript conserved region 9". Lineage: Eukaryota; Metazoa; Arthropoda; Insecta; Diptera; Chironomidae. The record is from RNAcentral.